GUGGGGAAUCUUAGACAAUGGGGGAAACCCUGAUCUAGCCAUGUCGCGUGAGCGAUGAAGGCCUUAGGGUUGUAAAGCUCUUUCAGCUGGGAAGAUAAUGACGGUACCAGCAGAAGAAGCCCCGGCUAACUCCGUGCCAGCAGCCGCGGUAAUACGGAGGGGGCUAGCGUUGUUCGGAAUUACUGGGCGUAAAGCGCGCGUAGGCGGACCAGAAAGUUGGAGGUGAAAUCCCAGGGCUCAACCUUGGAACUGCCUUCAAAACUCCUGGUCUGGAGUUCGAGAGAGGUGAGUGGAAUUCCGAGUGUAGAGGUGAAAUUCGUAGAUAUUCGGAGGAACACCAGUGGCGAAGGCGGCUCACUGGCUCGAUACUGACGCUGAGGUGCGAAAGCGUGGGGAGCAAACAGGAUUAGAAACCCUAGUAGUCC
RNAcentral lists this ribosomal RNA (425 nucleotides) under uncultured bacterium. Its description in RNAcentral is "partial 16S ribosomal RNA". It matches the Rfam family "Bacterial small subunit ribosomal RNA", at positions 354 to 796 of the family's 1533-position model. The record is from RNAcentral.